UAGGAAAAACUAUUGGGAUUGCACAUACAUUUUUAUUAAAAUUAUUUAAUAUUUUAUAUAGAAAUAUAGAAACUCAAAAUUAUUGUAAUUUAUAUACAACAAAAAAAUACCUAUUCAAUUUUAAUUAUAUUGUAUUUCGGUUUUUAGAUGCAAGCAGUUUUUCUAGGACUCUUAGUAGUGUCCACUGCGUUCGCUGCAGAACCAGCGAAGAAAAAUAAUAAAAGAUACUCCUUAGAUAUUGACAACAUCAGUGCCUUUGGUUCAUCUACUGCAGCUCCAUUAUCAUACGGUAGCUCAUUCGCGUCGAGUGUUUCUCCAUUCAAAUCUGUUUCUUACAGUUCCACUCCCGCUCCGUUUGCUUUUGGUAAAUCUUACUCAUCAAAUGCUUUUGCCAACGGUUUCGGUGCCCAAUCGUUUGACGGUGCAUCUUUCGUCGGAUCAUCCACUCCAGCUCCACUUCUCGAUGGAUCAUUCGCUUCUUCUUCCCCGGCAGCUUUAGUCGGAUCAUCUACCAUAGCACCAAUCGUAUCCGAUGCAAGCUAUGGAUAUUCGUCAUCUCCGUCUUCGAUUUUCUCAGGAGAUGGUGCAUCUAGUGCAUACGGAUCAUCCUUCUCUGGAGCCUACGCACCUAGUGUAUACGGAUCAUCCUUCUCGGGAGCCUACGCACCUAGUGCAUACGGAUCAUCCUUUUCCGGAGCCUACGCGCCAUCCUUCUCACAAGGAUCAUCGAUCUUCAAAUCAAAUGCUUACAGUAGUGAUGCCGUUGCAGUGUCAGUUACUCCGACUGUUCACAAACAAAUCAUUAUCACUAAACAAAUACCAGUCCCACAAUACGUCCAAGUCGAGAAGAAAGUACCGCACCCGGUAUAUGUCAAUGUACCACAACCGUACCCAGUUACUGUAGAAAGGAGAGUGCCAUAUGAAGUUAGAGUAAAUGUCGACCGUCCAGUCCAUGUACCUCAGCCGUACCCAGUGGAAGUUGAGAAGAGAGUGCCAUACCCCGUUGAAAAACCAGUACCGUAUACAGUUCAAGUACCAGUCGACAGGCCAUACCCGGUACAAGUUCCAGUUGAUAAACCAGUGCCGUACACAGUUGAAAAGCCUGUGCCAUACCCAGUAAGAGUAAAUGUCGACAGACCGUACCCAGUAGAAAAACCAGUGCCGUACCCAGUAGCCGUUGAAAAGCCAGUGCCAUACCCAGUAGAGAAGGCCGUGCCAUACACAGUUGAAAAACGCGUACCUUACCCAGUUGAAAAGCCUGUACCAUACCCAGUUAAAUACGAGGUCCCAGUUAAUGUUCCAUAUCCGGUGCAAGUUAAAGUUCCAGUAUCUGUAGAUAGGCCUGUGCCUUACACAGUUGAAAAGAAGGUCCCUUACCCAGUUCAGGUACCAUACGAAGUUAAGGUUCCAGUACCAGUCGCAGCGCCGAUUCAACGCCUCGCUACUGUCCACUACUAUGAAGGUUCAGCUCCAUCAGCUGCUUUAGGAUACGAAUCAUCUCAAGGUCUUACUGCAGGUCAAUCAGGUUACAGCAAAUUCUUCUCUGGCCUAGGACCAGCUUCCGGUAGUGCAUUCUACAGUUCCACAUCCAGCCCAGCUAGUUUCUACAGUUCUACACCAGCAUCAGCUAGUGCAUUCUACAGUUCCACCUCCAGCCCGGCUAGUUUCUAUAGUUCUACACCAGCAUCAGCUAGUGCGUUUAGCUCUACUGCUAGCCCGAUUGGUUUCAGCUCUACCGCUAGCCCAACUGGAUUCUAUGGCUCAAAUGCUGCUCAAGACAGUUUCUUAAGCUCAUCAGGCGCGGCGGCUCCAUUUAACUUCGGGCAAAAUUCUUUCUACGCUUCUUCGGUACCGGCUUCCACCAGCUCCGUUUCGUCUAGUUCAGUGGCAUCUAAUUUGGGCCAAGAAUCAUUCGACAUUGUAAAGAAAUAGAUUACUAAGUACCCGAUUGUAUUUAAAAAUGUUUUCACGCUUCCAAAAUAACAGAAACGUGUUUCU
Molecule: long non-coding RNA, 1998 nt
Filed under: Cinara cedri
Lineage: Eukaryota; Metazoa; Arthropoda; Insecta; Hemiptera; Aphididae
Source: RNAcentral